This is a long non-coding RNA of Eucalyptus grandis, 941 nucleotides long. RefSeq lists it as uncharacterized. The transcript has 2 exons. NCBI's taxonomy places the organism in Eukaryota, Viridiplantae, Streptophyta, Magnoliopsida, Myrtales, Myrtaceae. The record is from RefSeq and is a predicted model, not a curated record.
UUUUGUCACAGUUUUGAACUCCACAAUGAACAGGUAUGAGAUUUGGUGCAUGAAUCAGGAAAGCUCUAGUGCUUAAUGGAGAGUGAAUAUGAUGUCCCUUCUCAUAAUUGUGGUCUCCAAAGCCCGUCAUGUGCCUCCCUACUAGCAUGUCAAAUAAAAUAUAGCAGAUCAGAAAAGUUUUCCACUUACGGAUGUUUGGCACUCCAGCUUGACACAUAUUGAAUAGCUGACUUGCCAUAUAUAACCUCACCCUUUGUUGGCUGGAAAUAUUUUAAAACUUUAUGGACGACCUAUCCAUGCCGAAAUGUAUGUAAGGAUUUCCAACUUCUGAUUAUGGAUACUGUCUCCCAUUAUAUGAUUGUUCUCACUCACUUAAUCUUGAAAAUAGUCAAGUCAAUUUAAAUCUUGAAGAAGUGUCUGCAAUCUGCACAGUGCAAAAACCUUUUCCUUGAAAAAUAGCAUGUACUUUCUUAUUCAGUAUCUUUUCUUAUCUUUCGGAUCUUUUAGGAAGAAUAACCUAUUACACUUUAUCUUGCUUAAAGUAAUUGCAGGACAUGCUUGGGAAUUGGAGUAUAGAAGCAAAUGCUCCCGGGGACAAUCUAUUUGUGGCUAUUUCAGUUCAGCAUCCCAAGCUUGGUAACUACUUCACAGCUACCCUGCAAGCCAAAAGAGUUUACUCAUCAACUAUGUUAAAUCAUGGAAUAUUCUUCUGGUUGAAACUGUCUUUACAGUCUGCCUGUAUGUUUUCUUAUCAGCUUACACAGUCAAACCCUUUAUUUUCCUCUCAUUUGGGUACUUUUUAACUUUACUUUCCUGAAGUCAUGCCAGAAUUGAAUUAGGCCUUUAUUUUCUUGUCGUCAGCUUUGGUUUGGGUAAACCUAUGGAAGAUCAAAUUCUUCCAGGUGAAAUUAUUAAGAGGAGAGAUGCCUGACAUUUAGGUA